This 1376-nucleotide ribosomal RNA is filed under the name Escherichia coli. RNAcentral's name for it is "partial 23S ribosomal RNA". It matches the Rfam family "Bacterial large subunit ribosomal RNA", at positions 1566 to 2916 of the family's 2925-position model. The record is from RNAcentral. Lineage: Bacteria; Pseudomonadati; Pseudomonadota; Gammaproteobacteria; Enterobacterales; Enterobacteriaceae.
AUGACGAGGCACUACGGUGCUGAAGCAACAAAUGCCCUGCUUCCAGGAAAAGCCUCUAAGCAUCAGGUAACAUCAAAUCGUACCCCAAACCGACACAGGUGGUCAGGUAGAGAAUACCAAGGCGCUUGAGAGAACUCGGGUGAAGGAACUAGGCAAAAUGGUGCCGUAACUUCGGGAGAAGGCACGCUGAUAUGUAGGUGAAGCGACUUGCUCGUGGAGCUGAAAUCAGUCGAAGAUACCAGCUGGCUGCAACUGUUUAUUAAAAACACAGCACUGUGCAAACACGAAAGUGGACGUAUACGGUGUGACGCCUGCCCGGUGCCGGAAGGUUAAUUGAUGGGGUUAGCGGUAACGCGAAGCUCUUGAUCGAAGCCCCGGUAAACGGCGGCCGUAACUAUAACGGUCCUAAGGUAGCGAAAUUCCUUGUCGGGUAAGUUCCGACCUGCACGAAUGGCGUAAUGAUGGCCAGGCUGUCUCCACCCGAGACUCAGUGAAAUUGAACUCGCUGUGAAGAUGCAGUGUACCCGCGGCAAGACGGAAAGACCCCGUGAACCUUUACUAUAGCUUGACACUGAACAUUGAGCCUUGAUGUGUAGGAUAGGUGGGAGGCUUUGAAGUGUGGACGCCAGUCUGCAUGGAGCCGACCUUGAAAUACCACCCUUUAAUGUUUGAUGUUCUAACGUUGGCCCGUUAUCCGGGUUGCGGACAGUGUCUGGUGGGUAGUUUGACUGGGGCGGUCUCCUCCUAAAGAGUAACGGAGGAGCACGAAGGUUGGCUAAUCCUGGUCGGACAUCAGGAGGUUAGUGCAAUGGCAUAAGCCAGCUUGACUGCGAGCGUGACGGCGCGAGCAGGUGCGAAAGCAGGUCAUAGUGAUCCGGUGGUUCUGAAUGGAAGGGCCAUCGCUCAACGGAUAAAAGGUACUCCGGGGAUAACAGGCUGAUACCGCCCAAGAGUUCAUAUCGACGGCGGUGUUUGGCACCUCGAUGUCGGCUCAUCACAUCCUGGGGCUGAAGUAGGUCCCAAGGGUAUGGCUGUUCGCCAUUUAAAGUGGUACGCGAGCUGGGUUUAGAACGUCGUGAGACAGUUCGGUCCCUAUCUGCCGUGGGCGCUGGAGAACUGAGGGGGGCUGCUCCUAGUACGAGAGGACCGGAGUGGACGCAUCACUGGUGUUCGGGUUGUCAUGCCAAUGGCACUGCCCGGUAGCUAAAUGCGGAAGAGAUAAGUGCUGAAAGCAUCUAAGCACGAAACUUGCCCCGAGAUGAGUUCUCCCUGACUCCUUGAGAGUCCUGAAGGAACGUUGAAGACGACGACGUUGAUAGGCCGGGUGUGUAAGCGCAGCGAUGCGUUGAGCUAACCGGUACUAAUGAACCGUGAGG